UAAAAGGCCGCGGUAUUAUGACCGUGCAAAGGUAGCAUAAUCAUUAGUUUUUUAAUUGAAGGCUAGAAUGAAUGGUUGGACAAGAAAUAAUCUGUCUUAGUUUAAUAUAUUGAACUUAACUUUUAAGUGAAAAGGCUUAAAUGAUCUGAAGGGACGAUAAGACCCUAUAAAACUUUAUAUUUAAAUAUAGUAGUUAGUUUUAUGUAGUGUUACUAUUUAAAAGUAUUCGGUUGGGGUGACAAGAAUAAAAUAAAAAAUAACUGUUUAUUUUGUUUACAAGAAUAUGUGGGUUUAUGAUCCUAAGAACGGAUUAAAGAUUAAGUUACUUUAGGGAUAACAGCGUAAUUUUCUUUGAGAGUUCUUAUCGACAAGAGAGUUUGCGACCUCGAUGUUGAAUUAAAAGUUCUUUAUAGAGUAGAGACUAUAAUAGAAGGUCUGUUCG
Molecule: ribosomal RNA, 442 nt
Filed under: Procambarus llamasi
Lineage: Eukaryota; Metazoa; Arthropoda; Malacostraca; Decapoda; Cambaridae
Description: partial 16S ribosomal RNA
Rfam family: Archaeal large subunit ribosomal RNA
Source: RNAcentral